RNAcentral lists this ribosomal RNA (484 nucleotides) under uncultured bacterium. RNAcentral describes it as "partial 16S ribosomal RNA". It matches the Rfam family "Bacterial small subunit ribosomal RNA", at positions 30 to 507 of the family's 1533-position model. The record is from RNAcentral.
AUUGAACGCUAGCGGGAUGCUUUACACAUGCAAGUCGAACGGCAGCGCGGACUUCGGUCUGGCGGCGAGUGGCGAACGGGUGAGUAAUGUAUCGGAACGUGCCCAGUAGCGGGGGAUAACCACGCGAAAGCGUAGCUAAUACCGCAUACGCCCUACGGGGGAAAGCAGGGGAUCGUAAGACCUUGCACUAUUGGAGCGGCCGAUAUCGGAUUAGCUAGUUGGUGAGGUAACGGCUCACCAAGGCGACGAUCCGUAGCUGGUUUGAGAGGACGACCAGCCACACUGGGACUGAGACACGGCCCAGACUCCUACGGGAGGCAGCAGUGGGGAAUUUUGGACAAUGGGGGCAACCCUGAUCCAGCCAUCCCGCGUGUGCGAUGAAGGCCUUCGGGUUGUAAAGCACUUUUGGCAGGAAAGAAACGUCGCGGGCUAAUACCCCGUGGAACUGACGGUACCUGCAGAAUAAGCACCGGCUAACUACGUG